AUUGAACGCUGGCGGCAGGCCUAACACAUGCAAGUCGAAUGGUAACAGGAAACAGCUUGCUGUUUCGCUGACGAGUGGCGGACGGGUGUGUAAUGUCUGGGAAACUGCCUGAUGGAGGGGGAUAACUACUGGAAACGGUAGCUAAUACCGCAUAACGUCGCAAGACCAAAGAGGGGGACCUUCGGGCCUCUUGCCAUCAGAUGUGCCCAGAUGGGAUUAGCUAGUAGGUGGGGUAACGGCUCACCUAGGCGACGAUCCCUAGCUGGUCUGAGAGGAUGACCAGCCACACUGGAACUGAGACACGGUCCAGACUCCUACGGGAGGCAGCAGUGGGGAAUAUUGCACAAUGGGCGCAAGCCUGAUGCAGCCAUGCCGCGUGUAUGAAGAAGGCCUUCGGGUUGUAAAGUACUUUCAGCGGGGAGGAAGGGAGUAAAGUUAAUACCUUUGCUCAUUGACGUUACCCGCAGAAGAAGCACCGGCUAACUCCGUG
This 490-nucleotide ribosomal RNA is filed under the name uncultured bacterium. Its description in RNAcentral is "partial 16S ribosomal RNA". It matches the Rfam family "Bacterial small subunit ribosomal RNA", at positions 30 to 507 of the family's 1533-position model. The record is from RNAcentral.